UAAUACGUAGGUGGCAAGCGUUGUCCGGAAUUAUUGGGCGUAAAGCGCGCGCAGGCGGCCUUUUAAGUCUGAUGUGAAAGCCCCCGGCUCAACCGGGGAGGGCCAUUGGAAACUGGAAGGCUUGAGUACAGAAGAGAAGAGUGGAAUUCCACGUGUAGCGGUGAAAUGCGUAGAGAUGUGGAGGAACACCAGUGGCGAAGGCGACUCUUUGGUCUGUAACUGACGCUGAGGCGCGAAAGCGUGGGGAGCAAACAGG
Molecule: ribosomal RNA, 256 nt
Filed under: uncultured bacterium
Lineage: Bacteria
Description: partial 16S ribosomal RNA
Rfam family: Bacterial small subunit ribosomal RNA
Source: RNAcentral